AACGAACGCUGGCGGCAUGCCUAACACAUGCAAGUCGAACGGGAUCCAGGCUUCGGCCUGGUGAGAGUGGCGGACGGGUGAGUAACACGUGGGAACCUGCCUUUUGGUUCGGGAUAACCGCGGGAAACUGCGGCUAAUACCGGAUGCUCCCGAGAGGGGAAAGAUUUAUCGCCAGAAGAGGGGCCCGCGUCCGAUUAGGUAGUUGGUGAGGUAAUGGCUCACCAAGCCGACGAUCGGUAGCUGGUCUGAGAGGAUGAUCAGCCACACUGGGACUGAGAUACGGCCCAGACUCCUACGGGAGGCAGCAGUGGGGAAUAUUGGACAAUGGGGGCAACCCUGAUCCAGCAAUGCCGCGUGAGUGAUGAAGGCCUUAGGGUUGUAAAGCUCUUUUGCCAGGGAAGAUGAUGACUGUACCUGGAGAAUAAGCCCCGGCUAACUUCGUGCCAGCAGCCGCG
This 455-nucleotide ribosomal RNA is filed under the name uncultured bacterium. RNAcentral's name for it is "bacterial SSU rRNA". It matches the Rfam family "Bacterial small subunit ribosomal RNA", at positions 29 to 519 of the family's 1533-position model. The record is from RNAcentral.